GACGAACGCUGGCGGCGUGCUUAACACAUGCAAGUCGAACGGAAAGGCCCUGCUUUUGUGGGGUGCUCGAGUGGCGAACGGGUAAGUAACACGUGAGUAACCUGCCCUUGACUUUGGGAUAACUUCAGGAAACUUGGGAUCAUACCGGAUAUGAGCUCCUGCUGCAUGGUGGGGGUUGGAAAGUUUCGGCGGUUGGGGCUGGGCUCGCGGCUUAUCAGGUUGUUGGUGGGGUAGUGGCUUACGACGUCUUUGACGGGUAGCCGGCCGUGGAGGGUGACCGGCCACAUUGGGCCUGAGAGACGGCCCAGACUCCAACGGGAGGCAGCAGUGGGGAAUAUUGCACAAUGGGCGGAAGCCUGAUGCAGCAACGCCGCGGUCGGGAUGACGGCCUUCGGGUUGUAAACCGCUUUCGCCUGUGACGAAGCGUGAGUGACGGUAAUGGGUAAAGAAGCACCGGCUAACUACGUG
Molecule: ribosomal RNA, 468 nt
Filed under: uncultured bacterium
Lineage: Bacteria
Description: partial 16S ribosomal RNA
Rfam family: Bacterial small subunit ribosomal RNA
Source: RNAcentral